AACGAACGCUGGCGGCGUGCCUAACACAUGCAAGUCGAACGAGACCUUCGGGUCUAGUGGCGCACGGGUGCGUAACGCGUGGGAACCUGCCCUUAGGUUCGGAAUAACUCCCCGAAAGGGGUCCUAAUACCGGUUAAUGUCUUCGGACCAAAGAUUUUUGGCUUUUGGAUGGGCCCGCGUUGGAUUAGCUAGUUGGUAGGGUACAAGCAUGCCAUGGCGACGAUCCAUGGCUGGUCUGAGAGGAUGACAAACCGGAAUGGGACUGCGACACGGCCCAGACCCCUACGGAGGGCUGCGGAGUGGAGUACAAUGGGCGGAGGGAAAACCUAACCCAGCAAUGCCGGGUGAGUGAUGAAGGGCUUUGUAUUGUGAAUCUCUCUUACCCGAGGUGUGAAUGACAGUACCGGGUGAAUAAGCACCGGCUAACUCCGUG
RNAcentral lists this ribosomal RNA (433 nucleotides) under uncultured bacterium. RNAcentral describes it as "partial 16S ribosomal RNA". It matches the Rfam family "Bacterial small subunit ribosomal RNA", at positions 29 to 507 of the family's 1533-position model. The record is from RNAcentral.